RNAcentral lists this ribosomal RNA (658 nucleotides) under uncultured Lactarius. RNAcentral describes it as "eukaryotic LSU rRNA". It matches the Rfam family "Eukaryotic large subunit ribosomal RNA", at positions 1 to 633 of the family's 3401-position model. The record is from RNAcentral. Lineage: Eukaryota; Fungi; Basidiomycota; Agaricomycetes; Russulales; Russulaceae.
UUGACCUCAAAUCGGGUGAGACUACCCGCUGAACUUAAGCAUAUCAAUAAGCGGAGGAAAAGAAACUAACAAGGAUUCCCCUAGUAACUGCGAGUGAAGCGGGAAAAGCUCAAAUUUAAAAUCUGGCGGUCUUUGGCCGUCCGAGUUGUAAUUUAGAGAAGCGUCUUCCGCGCCGGACCGUGCACAAGUCUCCUGGAAUGGAGCGUCAUAGAGGGUGAGAAUCCCGUCUUUGGCACGGAUGCCCGGUGCUUCUGUGAUGCGCUCUCGAAGAGUCGAGUUGUUUGGGAAUGCAGCUCAAAAUGGGUGGUGAACUCCAUCUAAAGCUAAAUAUUGGCGAGAGACCGAUAGCGAACAAGUACCGUGAGGGAAAGAUGAAAAGCACUUUGGAAAGAGAGUGAAACAGUACGUGAAAUUGUUGAAAGGGAAACGCUUGAAGUCAGUCGCGUCGACCGAGACUCAGCCUUGCCUCGGCUUGGUGUACUUCUCGGCCCGACGGGUCAGCGUCAAUUUUGCCCCUCGGAUAAUGGCAAGGGAAAGGUGGCACCUUUACGGGUGUGUUAUAGUCUCCUGUCGCAUGCGAGGGGUGGGAUUGAGGAACUCAGCGCGCACCUUGGUGUCGGGGCUUCUGCCCACGUCACGCGCUUAGGAUGCUGGCGUA